CCUACGGGUGGCUGCAGUGGGGAAUAUUGGACAAUGGGGGGAACCCUGAUCCAGCCAUGCCGCGUGUGUGAAGAAGGCCCUCGGGUUGUAAAGCACUUUCAGUGAGGAAGAACGCCUGGUGGUUAAUACCCAUCAGGAAAGACAUCACUCACAGAAGAGGCACCGGCUAACUCCGUGCCAGCAGCCGCGGUAAUACGGAGGGUGCGAGCGUUAAUCGGAAUUACUGGGCGUAAAGCGCGCGUAGGUGGCUUGAUAAGCCGGUUGUGAAAGCCCCGGGCUCAACCUGGGAACGGCAUCCGGAACUGUCAAGCUAGAGUGCAGGAGAGGAAGGUAGAAUUCCCGGUGUAGCGGUGAAAUGCGUAGAGAUCAGGAGGAAUACCAGUGGCGAAGGCGGCCUUCUGGACUGACACUGACACUGAGGUGCGAAAGCGUGGGUAGCAAACAGGAUUAGAUACCCCGGUAGUC
Molecule: ribosomal RNA, 465 nt
Filed under: Vreelandella stevensii
Lineage: Bacteria; Pseudomonadati; Pseudomonadota; Gammaproteobacteria; Oceanospirillales; Halomonadaceae
Description: partial 16S ribosomal RNA
Rfam family: Bacterial small subunit ribosomal RNA
Source: RNAcentral